GGGGAGCCCACAGGGAGCCCGCGGAGUGACCCAGGCCCGGCUCGGCUCGGCGGUGAGGGGAAGUGGUGUACGAGCACCGGUCCCGCCUGGAGCGAUCCCUGCAGAAGGAGAGGGGCGAGCACAAGAAGACCAAGGAAGAUUUCUUGGUGUACAAGCUGGAGGCUCAGGAAGCUCUCAACAAGGAGAAGGUGGGGGUGCUUUGUCCUGGCCUUGGUGCCAGGGGGGAAUCCUUCCUGUGCCCCCGGGCAGGGCAGGGCAGGGCAGGGCAGGGAGGGCUCCUGGCACGGCUGAGCCCUGGGCUGGAGCUCUGCUGCUGCCACUCCAGAUUCCUGUGGGACACAGAGCCCCGUGCUGCCCUGGGGCCCUGGAGAAGCUUCCAGAAUGGAAUGGUGGAGCUGGGAUUGUGGGGGUGGAGAGUUUGGAUAGAAGGGUGUGAUGUCACAG
This 444-nucleotide long non-coding RNA is filed under the name Serinus canaria (Common canary). RNAcentral describes it as "lncRNA (ENSSCAG00000017320.1)". Lineage: Eukaryota; Metazoa; Chordata; Aves; Passeriformes; Fringillidae. The record is from RNAcentral.